CCGCUCUGCACCUUCGUCGGAGCGUUUGCUCACCGUGCUCCGCUGCAACGCAAGGUUGUCACACACGCGCACCGCGCGCCUUGCCCUCCAGCUCUUCGGUUGUGGCUCUCUUUGGUCCCGCUCGAGGGUUCAGCGGCACAGCUCGUCGUUUCAGCGGCACUUUCCACUACCGAAAGGUGCGCCUCACGCCCGAGGACGCGCUCGAUCCCCUUACGAAGCCAACCAACAUCGACAAGGCAGCCUUGCACGUCGUCUCAGUGCCCAUCGGAAACUUAAAGGACUUCUCCUUGCGGGCCCUCGAUGUGCUGCGCGGCGUCGACUACAUCAUCACCACCGAUCGCCCUGCUACCAAGACUCUCCUGGAUCUCGUUAACAUCCCCAACCAAGGUCGUCUCAUUCACUAUAGCCGCGGAAAUCGCAGCACCUCGCGCGAAAAGCUGGUGGAGUUGCUGAAGGGCGGGCGCAGCAUGGCACUGGUCACUACGAGUGGCACCCCGUGCAUUGGUGACGUCGGCGGGGAGCUGGUGCAAGAGCUACAGAAGAGCGGUAUUCGCGUCACAGCCGUGCCGGGCGCAUCAGCCCUGAUGAGCGCGCUGGCGAUAUCUGGUUUGACGACUUCUGCUUACGAAUCGGCGAAGAACCACAAGAGAGGCGCUGACGCAGCCGCCGACGGCGACGCCGGCCUUUCCCCUCAGACCUUUGAGGACGGCUCUUUCUUUUUUGGAAACGUGCUACCCAAGUCUCACGGGGCGCGACUCCGGAUUCUCCGCACUAUCGUUGCCCCUGCCACAUUCCCGUGCGUCUUCUACGAAGUUCCGCGACGGCUGGUGAUGGUGCUGCAGGACAUCGCAUCUGUGCUGCCGCAUCGGUUCGUCUACGUCACGCAUGAGCUGACGAAGCUGAACGAAUCAUUGCACGCUGACACAGCGGAACGACUCGUUGGCUUCUACCUCCGUCAAGAGGCACAGAUGCUGGUGAAGAAGGGGCAACUUGUGCUGGUGAUUGCCGGUGCGGGGCCGAAAGAGACGGCGGCGUGGCUGGAGAAGGAGGCGGCGAAGCGGCGGCGUUUGCGCCGCACAGUCAGCGAUCUUAUGAAGGAUGCUCCGCCUGCGGCAUCGUCGCACCUGGAAUCGGCGCCGGGCACCAGAGGGACAAAUGCAGCGGCGUCAUCGUCAACAGAGUCGAGUGUGACAAUAGCCAAGGAGGAGCGGCGGCAGUGUAGGAAGCAGCGAGCUGAGCUGCGGCGCUUGCGGCAGAGGAAGAAGCGCGAGCGCCUUAUUCGGGCGAUCGAAUCUGAGCAGGAGAGACUGCGAGUCAUCCUUUCCAUUAAUCGAAACGACGCUAGCCGGCUAGUGUGAGAGCUGUGGAGGCGUGACCGAGUGAUGAAAGACAAAGCAGUUGCCAAGUGUGCCGUCGCUCUCGCACUCACCUACGGCGGUUGGGCUGCGAGGGAGUAGCGGGCGGGUCGUGGCCUGCAGCGUGCGCCUGCGCAGUGGAGACGACCUCACCAAACACCGUCCCAGAAUGUCAAAACACACGCAACUCGUUGACGUUGUCUACGCCUCCACUUUCUUUCGAUUGCGUGAUGAUGCUUUUCGUUAUCUGUUUAAACCACCACAACAGCUGAUCAGCCGCCUGUCGCUCUGCGGGCCUUCACAGGGAUCAAAGACGAUCAACCCUACGCCUACACAGAUCGCUAAAGAGAAAACAAAGAAAAACGGCACUGCGUAUAAAAAGCUUCUCCAGUCGUGGCUGCGUAACAUCUGCACCCCGAGAAAAGGUGGUGAACACGAGGGGUUGCCCGUAGAGAGAGGGAGAGCUGUAACUGAGGCUAUCUUGCUCCCUCCUAGCCUUUUCCCUUUACUGGAUUCUCCCGGCGCUGAGGUCGCCCUGCGGGGCCCGAAUUGUCUCGUUUUUCUCUUCGUU
Molecule: unclassified non-coding RNA, 1926 nt
Filed under: Leishmania donovani
Lineage: Eukaryota; Euglenozoa; Kinetoplastea; Trypanosomatida; Trypanosomatidae
Description: gene:LdHU3.35.4470(CDS-product:Tetrapyrrole_(Corr in/Porphyrin)_Methylases_putative)
Source: RNAcentral